AGCUUCUCCUGCUUGUGCUACAGCAGACACAGGAAGACGUGAGGACAUUAAAGCUUCAAUGUCAAGACCAUGUUGCUUGACGACAGUCUCCAUAGCCCUUGAUAUUACUUGAUAAGGCAUUGAGCUCUCCUUCCCGCUGGAUCUCAUAUGUUGUAAAAUCACAUAAAGCUUUGUAGCCAAUUUAGUCGGCUCGUCCUUAGAUUCUUGAAUAAGCUUAUGGAGAAA
RNAcentral lists this unclassified non-coding RNA (225 nucleotides) under Hevea brasiliensis (rubber tree). The record is from RNAcentral. Lineage: Eukaryota; Viridiplantae; Streptophyta; Magnoliopsida; Malpighiales; Euphorbiaceae.